GUGAAACCAACCGGCAUGCCCACUGGCAUGUAGGCACUGAACCCCGGACUGCAGAAAAUCCGUUAAUCUUCAAGAUUUUGAAGAUUAAUAACGGCUAUCCCAUUCACCACGGAUGGAAACUAAAGGGAAACUUUGGUUUCAGCUUGUGUUUCUACUACUCGAAGUCUAUGUCUGUGACGAUGACUCACAAAGACCACAGUGUUCUGUUAAACUUGGGGAAAUAUGUGCUUCUUCUGACAGCGACACUGAGCUUCAGUUUCAGCAAACUCUUACAUGCAAACAGAAUGAUCACUGGAGGAUGAAGAAAAAUGACAACGACAUUUACUUCUGUCGAAAUGGAUACCACAGCUUCCCUGAUGAGUCUGAGAGAAGCAACCUACAUUUCAGUGAAAUUAGUGGUUCAUUUAAGGUUGUGAAAGUGCAGCAGUCAGACACAGGACUGUAUAAAUUAUGUGACCCCAAUGACAAAUGCGCAUGUGUUGAACUGGUCAUGAGACCAGAUGGAAAAAGUUGUGACGAAGCAGCAGGAGGGCAAAAUGUCCAAGAGAUUCAUAUACCUACAGACUCAAGUAGCAUCACUGGAACCAUAACUGGAAAUGUUUUUGCAAUCCUAUUUGUUCUUGUUUUCAUUUCUUCUUAGAAAUAAGAAAAGGAAG
Long non-coding RNA from Oreochromis aureus, 656 nucleotides. NCBI's taxonomy places the organism in Eukaryota, Metazoa, Chordata, Actinopteri, Cichliformes, Cichlidae. The record is from Ensembl.